GGUCGGGUAGCUGAGUGGUUACAGCAUCCCAGAUCCAUCAGGAGGUCCCCAGUUCAACUCUGGCUAGGCCUGACUG
RNAcentral lists this transfer RNA (76 nucleotides) under Auriscalpium vulgare. RNAcentral describes it as "tRNA-OTHER". The record is from RNAcentral. Lineage: Eukaryota; Fungi; Basidiomycota; Agaricomycetes; Russulales; Auriscalpiaceae.